GCAUAAUCAUUUGCCUUUUAAUUAAAGGAUAGUAUGAAUGGUUGCACGAAAUUUUUCCUUUAUUAAAUUUAUUAUUAAAACUUACACUCCAUGUGAAGAUGCAUGGAUAAUUUUGAAAGACAAGAAGACCCUAUAGAGUUUAAAUAACUUUAUCCCCCGUAGAAGGAAAAUUAUUUUUGUUGGGGCGACAAAGGAUAAUUAAAAUCAUCCUUAAUCUAAACCGAUAAUAAUUCUUUAUAUUGAUCCAAAAUACGAUUAUUAAAACGAACUACCUUAGGGAUAACAGGCUAAUCUUCUUCCAGAGUUCAUAUCGACAAGAAGGUUUGGCACCUCGAUGUUGGCUUAGAGAAUCCUAUUACCGCAAAAGGUAGUUAGGAUAGUUUGUUCAACUAUUAAUACUCU
This 402-nucleotide ribosomal RNA is filed under the name Polynoidae sp. 666-5 PB. Its description in RNAcentral is "partial 16S ribosomal RNA". The stretch from base 85 to 402 matches the Rfam family "Bacterial large subunit ribosomal RNA", at positions 2045 to 2597 of the family's 2925-position model. The record is from RNAcentral. Lineage: Eukaryota; Metazoa; Annelida; Polychaeta; Phyllodocida; Polynoidae.